GAUGAACGCUGGCGGCGUGCCUAAUACAUGCAAGUCGAGCGAACGGACGAGAAGCUUGCUUCUCUGAUGUUAGCGGCGGACGGGUGAGUAACACGUGGAUAACCUACCUAUAAGACUGGGAUAACUUCGGGAAACCGGAGCUAAUACCGGAUAAUAUUUUGAACCGCAUGGUUCAAAAGUGAAAGACGGUCUUGCUGUCACUUAUAGAUGGAUCCGCGCUGCAUUAGCUAGUUGGUAAGGUAACGGCUUACCAAGGCAACGAUGCAUAGCCGACCUGAGAGGGUGAUUGGCCACACUGGAACUUAGACACGGUCCAGACUCCUACGGGAGGCUGCAGUAGGGAAUCUUCCGCAAUGGGCGAAAGCCUGACGGAGCAACGCCGCGUGAGUGAUGAAGGUCUUCGGAUCGUAAAACUCUGUUAUUAGGGAAGAACAUAUGUGUAAGUAACUGUGCACAUCUUGACGGUACCUAAUCAGAAAGCCACGGCUAACUACGUG
Molecule: ribosomal RNA, 497 nt
Filed under: uncultured bacterium
Lineage: Bacteria
Description: partial 16S ribosomal RNA
Rfam family: Bacterial small subunit ribosomal RNA
Source: RNAcentral